RNAcentral lists this ribosomal RNA (491 nucleotides) under uncultured bacterium. Its description in RNAcentral is "partial 16S ribosomal RNA". It matches the Rfam family "Bacterial small subunit ribosomal RNA", at positions 29 to 506 of the family's 1533-position model. The record is from RNAcentral.
AGUGAACGCUGGCGGUAGGCCUAACACAUGCAAGUCGAACGGCAGCACAAUAAGAGCUUGCUCUUACGGGUGGCGAGUGGCGGACGGGUGAGGAAUACAUCGGAAUCUACUUUUUCGUGGGGGAUAACGUAGGGAAACUUACGCUAAUACCGCAUACGACCUACGGGUGAAAGCAGGGGAUCUUCGGACCUUGCGCGAUUGAAUGAGCCGAUGUCGGAUUAGCUAGUUGGCGGGGUAAAGGCCCACCAAGGCGACGAUCCGUAGCUGGUCUGAGAGGAUGAUCAGCCACACUGGAACUGAGACACGGUCCAGACUCCUACGGGAGGCAGCAGUGGGGAAUAUUGGACAAUGGGCGCAAGCCUGAUCCAGCCAUACCGCGUGGGUGAAGAAGGCCUUCGGGUUGUAAAGCCCUUUUGUUGGGAAAGAAAAGCAGCAGGUUAAUACCCCGCUGUUCUGACGGUACCCAAAGAAUAAGCACCGGCUAACUUCGU